GUUUGUGCACAAGCUACCUAGUUUUACUAGCAACUAGGUUGCUUCACUUUGGUUAUGCUAGCUGGUGCACGUUUCCCUAGUGAGAUAAAUAGUUAAUAAAUGUCAAGUCAGUGUUCAGUGUGUGACUGGCAGGGAUUUCUGUUGUAAAUUACAACUUUCGAUGCUUUUCAUUAUUAUAUUUUCAUUUUCUUGUGCAUUUACUUUCUUUUAGGAAGUUGUAGGGGGUGAAGUUUGAGCCACUGCAUUAUCAGCUGGUAAGAUAAAGAUGAUAAAGAUUUCAUUGUUAUAGCAUUCGCUAUUUUUGUCACACAGCUACGUAGUCUGACCAGUCCAUCGCAAACCGGUCUGAAGACGUGCGAACUGUUCAAGAAACAGAAAGAAGAGUCAAUCUUGAGCAUAAUUCUAAAUUCAAGAAAGACGGCUGCAGAACUCAGGGACUAAUUGUCCACAGAUGUGUAGCUGCACUGGACUGAAGACCCAGAGUUUCAC
Molecule: long non-coding RNA, 489 nt
Organism: Ictalurus punctatus (channel catfish)
Lineage: Eukaryota; Metazoa; Chordata; Actinopteri; Siluriformes; Ictaluridae
Source: Ensembl